UGAGAGAUGGCUCAGUGGUUCAGAGCACUGGUUGCUCAUACAGAGGACCUGGGUUUGAUUCCUAGCAUUUCAU
This 73-nucleotide transfer RNA is filed under the name Neotoma lepida (desert woodrat). It matches the Rfam family "tRNA". Rfam says of the family: Transfer RNA (tRNA) molecules are approximately 80 nucleotides in length. Their secondary structure includes four short double-helical elements and three loops (D, anti-codon, and T loops). Further hydrogen bonds mediate the characteristic L-shaped molecular structure. tRNAs have two regions of fundamental functional importance: the anti-codon, which is responsible for specific mRNA codon recognition, and the 3' end, to which the tRNAs corresponding amino acid is attached (by aminoacyl-tRNA synthetases). tRNAs cope with the degeneracy of the genetic code in two manners: having more than one tRNA (with a specific anti-codon) for a particular amino acid; and 'wobble' base-pairing, i.e. permitting non-standard base-pairing at the 3rd anti-codon position. The record is from Rfam by way of RNAcentral. Lineage: Eukaryota; Metazoa; Chordata; Mammalia; Rodentia; Cricetidae.